Molecule: ribosomal RNA, 771 nt
Filed under: uncultured bacterium
Lineage: Bacteria
Description: bacterial SSU rRNA
Rfam family: Bacterial small subunit ribosomal RNA
Source: RNAcentral
AGAGUUUGAUCCUGGCUCAGGACGAACGCUGGCGGCGUGCUUAACACAUGCAAGUCGAACGGAAAGGCCCUUCGGGGUACUCGAGUGGCGAACGGGUGAGUAACACGUGGGUGAUCUGCCCUGCACUUUGGGAUAAGCCUGGGAAACUGGGUCUAAUACCGAAUAGGACCACGCGCUUCAUGGUGUGUGGUGGAAAGCUUUUGCGGUGUGGGAUGGGCCCGCGGCCUAUCAGCUUGUUGGUGGGGUAAUGGCCUACCAAGGCGACGACGGGUAGCCGGCCUGAGAGGGUGACCGGCCACACUGGGACUGAGAUACGGCCCAGACUCCUACGGGAGGCAGCAGUGGGGAAUAUUGCACAAUGGGCGCAAGCCUGAUGCAGCGACGCCGCGUGAGGGAUGACGGCCUUCGGGUUGUAAACCUCUUUCAAUAGGGACGAAGCGCAAGUGACGGUACCUAUAGAAGAAGCACCGGCCAACUACGUGCCAGCAGCCGCGGUAAUACGUAGGGUGCGAGCGUUGUCCGGAAUUACUGGGCGUAAAGAGCUCGUAGGUGGUUUGUCGCGUUGUUCGUGAAAACUCACAGCUUAACUGUGGGCGUGCGGGCGAUACGGGCAGACUAGAGUACUGCAGGGGAGACUGGAAUUCCUGGUGUAGCGGUGGAAUGCGCAGAUAUCAGGAGGAACACCGGUGGCGAAGGCGGGUCUCUGGGCAGUAACUGACGCUGAGGAGCGAAAGCGUGGGGAGCGAACAGGAUUAGAUACCCUGGUAGUCC